Humulus lupulus (European hop) is the source of this 453-nucleotide long non-coding RNA. RefSeq lists it as uncharacterized. The transcript has 3 exons. The record is from RefSeq and is a predicted model, not a curated record. Lineage: Eukaryota; Viridiplantae; Streptophyta; Magnoliopsida; Rosales; Cannabaceae.
UCAGGGCUGAGGCAACUAAAGAUGAUAGAUAUGGAGCUUUAAGUAGGUCACGGUAUGGUCUUGUUGACCUUGCAGCUGCUUUAUUCUAUCGGGCUUGUGUUAACAGAGAUAAGCCAUCAUCAUCUGAGAAGCGGGUGAAGAGAGAGCAUGCUGAUACACGUUUAAGAGAAGAGCUCAAAAAAGGAAAGUGGCUAUGGGGGAUUCUCGAGACAUUUUGCAUCUUAGAAAAGGCCUCCUGAAAGCAGUUUUGGGUCAUCUUGAAUGGCAUGUCUGUUUCUUGUUUUGUUAUGCCCGGGAUGGUUUUGAAGGGGUUGAGACACACACACAAUAAUUUUUUUUAUACAUAACUAGAGAAAUAUAUGACAAGCAGUCCUUUCCAAAAGAAAAUAAAAAUACUAUUAUAAGUCUCUUAAAUCCAGCAAUGUAAAGAUUAGAUGAAACACUGAGUUCCAU